RNAcentral lists this ribosomal RNA (253 nucleotides) under uncultured bacterium. RNAcentral's name for it is "partial 16S ribosomal RNA". It matches the Rfam family "Bacterial small subunit ribosomal RNA", at positions 524 to 776 of the family's 1533-position model. The record is from RNAcentral.
UACGGAGGGUGCGAGCGUUGUCCGGAAUCACUGGGCGUAAAGGGCGCGUAGGCGGCCUGAUAAGUAGGGGGUGAAAUCCUGCGGCUUAACCGCAGGGCUGCCUUCUAAACUGUCAGGCUCGAGCACAGUAGAGGCAGGUGGAAUUCCCGGUGUAGCGGUGGAAUGCGUAGAGAUCGGGAGGAACACCAGUGGCGAAGGCGGCGACCUGGACGGACACUGACGCUGAGACGCGAAAGCGUGGGGAGCAAACAGG